GGCAGAUCUCGGGUGACAAGCCCCAGAAUCAGGCUCCCUCUUCUCUGGUCUUGGCGUGCAUCACCCGAGAAUGGCC
Non-coding RNA from Myotis lucifugus (little brown bat), 76 nucleotides. Lineage: Eukaryota; Metazoa; Chordata; Mammalia; Chiroptera; Vespertilionidae. The record is from Rfam.